UUUAGUAGAACUCUGUAUUUUGUUUCUUCUUAACUGUUAUCUAGACUCCAGAUGUAAGAUGGAGUUGACGCCGAACAGUAAAAGUUCCUUUUUAGCUUACUGAAAUUGCCCAUCCUUCAACCUUGUAAGCGCUUAAGAGUCAGUCCUGUUAUGAUAUGGUUUUCAAAUCCAUCAUUUUGGACUUGUACGUGCACGUUUGGGAGUGAUCUUAAAUUUGUUAAGAUCGGCUUGAAGAAACUAACUCUUAAUUACUAAAGAUCAAUUCAAUGUUCAUUUCACACAUUUAAAUGCAAUUUUCAUGCUAUUGAUAUUGAUUUUGAAUGAUCAAAAGGUUGAUAAAAGAGAUUUUAUGUUACUUUUCCUUUUAGCAAGUUCACGGGUUCAGGUUGAUUCUAAUGAGAUUAUUAUUAUUCUUCCCCCCCUCCCGCGUAGAUUCUGGAGUUUGCGCGCAAUGGUGACAAGAGCGUGGCAGAAUUGAUGGAAUUGGGACCGAAACUCUUAGGAAGGUUUGAUGAAAUUCUUUUAUUUUAUUUUGCUAUGAUACUGUUGAAUAUUGUAUUACGUUUAUAUGAACCUACUUAUUAUUAAAAGCUAUAGAAUUUUAAUAACUUUCUUCGUGACAGGAGACAAGUUCUUCCAGCUGUUCCCCAUCUUGUGGAUUCUGUGCAGGUAUUGUACUACCAAGUGCCAAGUAUUGUUUUGAAGUCUUCUAUAAAUUCAAAUUCCAAAUUAUCUGCAAAAGUAGUACGGGAAUCGUUAAAUAUCUUGCAUAAUGCCGAUAUUGAUAUUGUAGGUUGAAGGAACUUUUCCUGAUGGGACUAAGUUAGUCACAGUUCAUAAUCCCUUUGAAGAAGAAAAUGGGAACCUAGAACUCGCAUUGGAGGGUUCUUUUCUUCCAGGUGGAUCUCACUUUCACAAAGUUUUUGACUUACAUUCUGUUGGAUAUAUUUAUUAUUCUGUCUUCUAGGUUCCAUACGACUCCAAUAAAAAAUCCUCACGAUUUCUGAUUUUCUGAUUUCCUGCUAUAAACCUUUGCUCUUAAUUCCCUGCUGAUUAAGAACGAAUUGUUUUUUUUUUUUUUGGUUAAAUUACAAGUUUAAUUAUUGAUGUUUCUAGAUUGUGUUUAAUAGGUAUCUGAAAUUUAAAAAUAUGUAAUAGGUAUGUGAGUGGAUCACCUUUUCUUCUUUCUUAAGCCGAGAGUCCAACAAUCAGCUAAUCCUCCCUUUUUAGUUUGGUCAUGAAGGUUGGACGUACAUCUUGUCAACUUUUUUAAUUUGGUUUGGUGCCUUCUGAAGAGAGUGGAAGAUGUUUUUUUUAAUGGCUUUCCAGUUGGUGGUUCAAAAAGCUAGCAAAAGUCUUGUGCCGUAAUGAAAGUAAAUAGAAUAUGGUUCUCAAAUAAGGCCUCUACUUUUUUUUUCCUGUGAAACUGUACAGUACCCAACCUCUUUUUGUUGUGCUUUACCCAGUUCAUUUUUCAAUACUUGAUAUUCUCUCGUUUGUAUAGGCUGGAAGCCCUUCCUUUUUUUAUCCCUUUUUCUAGGCUUAGGAGCUCUCAUCCCAAAGGCCUUUUGAGGUUUGCUCUCUUUUGGUGUUGGGUCUUUCUUCCUUAAAAAAACAUAUGGGAGCUUUCAUUUUUGUCUAGUAAGUCCCAGACUGGGUUUUUUGAAAGAUUAUUAGAUGCAUUAGAUACAAAAUUGAAAGGUGUGAGUUCUAUUAGCAAUACUAACUUAGGGGUGUUUGGGGUAAGGAGUGAGUUAUUAUGGUCCUAGGUUGUUAUAGUUGAGUUAUAAUGGUUUGUGUUUGGGGUGUAAGAUUAUUUUAGUUUGAGAAGAAAAUAGUAAACGUUGUAGCAAUGAAUAAAAAAAUGAUGAAUAUUGAAUAGUAAAAACUGUAGCAAAUGGAGAGUUUUAAAAUAGUGUUUACUGUAGCUAAUUGGAGAUUUUAAACAGUAUCUACUGUAGCUAGAGGUAGUUAUAAUAUUCUUACAUAAUCCUCGCCCCCAAUGGCCUCUUAAUUUUGUAUCUCACAAGUUCUUGACUUUCAAAAAAUGACAAAUGGAUUAGGGAGCUGUUGAAUAAAAUAUUCAAAGUUUGGAGACCUAUUAGAUAUAAAAUUGAAAGUUCAAAAUCUGUUCAAACACUUCAAAGACUCAAUAGUUACAAGUUAAAAAUUCAAAAACUUAUUUAGAACAAUUAUGUAAGUGUAGGUACUAAAUCUGUAAUUUAACAACUUAGUUUUUAUGGCCAUUUUAAUAUAUUUGUUCUUCUACAAUCCAGUAUAUCAAAUUUACUUCUAGUAUAUCUAAUUUACUUCUUGUUGAACCAUUCAAAUAAACUUGUGGUUGUUUAUUACUAAUAACACGUGCCGGCCUUGUUUCCUACCCCUUUACUCCAAUUUUUUUUUGUCCUUUCUCCGUUCAGUUUUAUCAGCUUUAAUAAACAAACAAUAUUAGUGGAAAUUCUUACCAAAACUGGAAUGAUGGUAUAACAUUUUAACUAUACCCUUGAUUUUUGCUUCUCACAUGUCAUUUAAAGGUUCAAAUGCUCUUUGUAAACUUGUAGUGUUCUACAGUGUUUUACUAACUUGAGUGUUGUGUAUUGUUAAGUAUAAUAUGAAACUGCUUGCGAGUAAAAUUUAGCAUAGCAGCCCUAGCACUUUCGUUACUCAUAGCGUUUUAGGUGGUUUUUUUUAUGGAAUGUGGUUUUUCUCUCCAUAUAUUUUAGUUGAUUUAAUUGCAAAAGAAUUGUUUUGCAGUUC
This 2757-nucleotide long non-coding RNA is filed under the name Cucumis sativus (cucumber). RNAcentral describes it as "long non-coding RNA (CSAT_LNC002060)". The record is from RNAcentral. Lineage: Eukaryota; Viridiplantae; Streptophyta; Magnoliopsida; Cucurbitales; Cucurbitaceae.